RNAcentral lists this ribosomal RNA (232 nucleotides) under uncultured bacterium. Its description in RNAcentral is "partial 16S ribosomal RNA". It matches the Rfam family "Bacterial small subunit ribosomal RNA", at positions 99 to 334 of the family's 1533-position model. The record is from RNAcentral.
CGGAGGGUCGAGUAAUGUCUGGGAAACUGCCCGAUGGAGGGGGAUAACUACUGGAAACGGUAGCUAAUACCGCAUAACGUCGCAAGACCAAAGAGGGGGACCUUCGGGCCUCUUGCCAUCGGAUGUGCCCAGAUGGGAUUAGCUAGUAGGUGGGGUAACGGCUCACCUAGGCGACGAUCCCUAGCUGGUCUGAGAGGAUGACCAGCCACACUGGAACUGAGACACGGUCCAG